Bos taurus (domestic cattle) is the source of this 72-nucleotide non-coding RNA. NCBI's taxonomy places the organism in Eukaryota, Metazoa, Chordata, Mammalia, Artiodactyla, Bovidae. The record is from Rfam.
UCCCUGGUGGCUCAGAGGGUAAAGAGUCUGCCUGCAAUGCAGGAGACCCGGGUUCCAUCCCUGGAUUGGGAA